RNAcentral lists this ribosomal RNA (253 nucleotides) under uncultured bacterium. Its description in RNAcentral is "partial 16S ribosomal RNA". It matches the Rfam family "Bacterial small subunit ribosomal RNA", at positions 524 to 776 of the family's 1533-position model. The record is from RNAcentral.
UACGGGGGGGGUAAGCGUUGUUCGGAAUUACUGGGCGUACAGGGCUCGUAGGCGGCCGACUAAGUCAUACGUGAAAUCCCUCAGCUUAACUGGGGAACUGCGUCUGAUACUGGAUGGCUUGGAUCCGGAAGAGGGAUGCGGAAUUCCAGGUGUAGCGGUGAAAUGCGUAGAUAUCUGGAGGAACACCGGUGGCGAAGGCGGCAUCCUGGGCCGGUAUUGACGCUGAGGAGCGAAAGCCAGGGGAGCAAACGGG